RNAcentral lists this ribosomal RNA (253 nucleotides) under uncultured bacterium. Its description in RNAcentral is "partial 16S ribosomal RNA". It matches the Rfam family "Bacterial small subunit ribosomal RNA", at positions 524 to 776 of the family's 1533-position model. The record is from RNAcentral.
UACGGAGGAUGCAAGCGUUGUCCGGAAUUAUUGGGCGUAAAGGGUGCGUAGGCGGUUUGAUAAGUUUGGUGUGAAAUCUCUGGGCUCAACCCAGAGUCUGCAUCGAAAACUGUCGGGCUUGAGUAUGGGAGAGGUGAGUGGAAUUUCCGGUGUAGCGGUGAAAUGCGUAGAUAUCGGAAGGAACACCUGUGGCGAAAGCGGCUCACUGGACCAUAACUGACGCUGAUGCACGAAAGCUAGGGGAGCAAACAGG